GAUGAACGCUAGCUACAGGCUUAACACAUGCAAGUCGAACGGGAGUAAGUGCUUCGGUAUUUACUUUAGUGGCGAACGGGUGAGUAACGCGUGAGGAACCUGCCUUUCAGUGGGGGACAACAGUUGGAAACGACUGCUAAUACCGCAUGACGCUUCUUAGGGGCAUCCCUGAGAAGUCAAAGCUUUAUGUGCUGAAAGAUGGCCUCGCGUCUGAUUAGCUAGUUGGUGGGGUAACGGCCCACCAAGGCGACGAUCAGUAGCCGGUCUGAGAGGAUGAACGGCCACAUUGGGACUGAGAUACGGCCCAA
RNAcentral lists this ribosomal RNA (308 nucleotides) under uncultured bacterium. Its description in RNAcentral is "bacterial SSU rRNA". It matches the Rfam family "Bacterial small subunit ribosomal RNA", at positions 28 to 334 of the family's 1533-position model. The record is from RNAcentral.